Molecule: long non-coding RNA, 3011 nt
Organism: Centruroides sculpturatus (bark scorpion)
Lineage: Eukaryota; Metazoa; Arthropoda; Arachnida; Scorpiones; Buthidae
Exons: 2
Source: RefSeq, a predicted model, not a curated record
GUCUGCACCGUGUGGGUGUGUGUUGUUUAUCGUCUACGAAAUACGCGAAUCAGUCGGCGAAACAAUUUUUAAAUGCUUAAUUAAGCAAUAUUAUCGUCUUUUGAAGAGGAUUCGGCGUAAAUGUAAGUAUUAAUUUAAACUUAAAUUUCGAAAUCGAUUUUACGGUAAAGUAGGUCAAAGACAAACUACAGUCGCCAUUUUUUCUGCUUACGACUCCGUCGUUGUCUGUCGGGUUAGACCGAAGCCAACGUUUUCCAUCCCACUAAACGGUUUUAUGCUUUAUUAAUAGAAAUAUUUAGACGUAUUCUGACGUCAUUUCUCACGCAGAAUCGAAUGGUAUAUAUAAAAACGCCCGAACUGUUUCGUACUUGAGUAUAUUUAUUUCAUUUAAUUAAUAGCGACUUAUUAAAAAAUACUUUCUCGUUCUUCGACAGUAACAAAAUGCAGUAAUUUUAUUUGCCUUAUUUCGUUAUGUAUACGAGGAAAAAGGACGUUUAGGAAUGGUGUCGUUGACGACCUUCGAUUCCGACGUGGCGAGGUAAACGUCAUUAUGACGUCACUUUAAAAUUAUUUGUCUUGUGAACGGUAAGGGUGGAGUUAUAAACUCCGUAACGUAACCGUAUUCGUAGCUGUAAGCGUAUCCGUAUAGCGUGGUUAUAAACUCCGUAUCGUAUCCGUAUGGCCGUACCGUAUUCGGUAAGAAAAGUUUGGUUCGAUCAAACUUUUACGGUAAGAAUACGAAGAACUGACCAAUUGCGCAUGCGUUAAGUCGAGUAUAAUCGGAAGUUAUGCCGGAAGCAACCCAAUAAAGCUUUGACAAAUUGAUUGAAACGUAAAUUUUGUCCGAUAAUGUUGCUUCUGAAGAAUAUAAAAUUUUAAGAUAAGAAUUACUUUGGUUAUAAAAAAAUAUAGAAAAAUGUUAAAAUGAAUAAAUAAUUAGUGUUAGAUCUGGCAAUAACUACAGAUGAUUUUGCGCAUGCUCACAAUGCAUUGCUUUGUAAAUCGUAAGAUAAACUUGUUCCCUUAAGGAUACGGAAAAGCUCUUGUGCAGCGUUGCCAUUCCUAGUACAUUUGUACUUUUCGGGUACAUUUUGCCCUUUCCAGUAAAUUGAAAGUACGGAAAUAUACAAAAGAGUGGCUAACAAAAAAUCAGUUGGUGUUAACAAAAGCUGACAAAACCAAGCAAAUGAUGGUACGGAAAUAUUUUAUAUUAUAGAAUUUGGGUAACAAGUAUUAAGUAUCAUAAUUGAAGGAACAAUAUUUACUGAAAAGUUUGUCUUUUGCCAGUUUAUUAAUUAAAAUCACUGUAUUUACUAUUAUAUUAGACGAGGUUUUUAUUCAUUUGUCACAGUUUCAAAUUCCUAGGUCGCCCUACAUGCGUGAGCGAAAGAUUCUUUCUGUUUUGCAAAUAAUUUUUAUUUAUUUUUUUUUACACUCUUGUAUUUAAAAAAGACUAUUUUAUCCUGGUUGUUUGAGUUGUUCCUAUACAUUGUCAGGAGUGAAGAUGAAUAGCAAUAGGAAAACAAAAGCUUUUUAAAUUAAAUUCUAGAUCGAAAUUCAACUUAACCUUUCUUAAUGCCCUUAAAAUAUAAGUACCUGAAUAUUGAUAUUCCAUAUUCAUAACUUGACAUUAUUUUUAAUUUAUCACCAAUGACAUAAAACAGAAAUGGUGCAAAUAUCCUUGUUUUUGAGUUAUAUAAUUACUUUCUGUGGCACAUACAUAAUUUCUUGUAAAUCCACACUUUCCUAAACCCCAAUACACUUCCAACAUCUGUAAUGAUAAUUGACUCUAUAUAUUUUAAGAGGCGUAAAUAUGUUAUCACCCUUAUGAUUUAAGGCUGGCAGAACAACACUUUAAUUACAAAUGUAUACAAAAAUGGGACUUUGCAAUCUGAUUGACUUUUGGAUGAUGACAGAUUUUGAAAUUCAGAAGAAUAACUGAGAAUAGUCUUUUCUAAUGUUUGAAGCAGCAAGUAUGUUUUGUUGUUUGGACAUUUUUAGAGCAAUAUAUAUAUAUAUAUAUAUUUUGUAUACAGGUGCUCACUUACAAACAGGUCUUGUCAUAUGUUGAAAACUAACCUAGAAAGUACAUUUGUACACACAGUAACCGCUUAUUGUUAGUGUUUGAUUCAGUAUACUUAAUAGAACACAUUACAUUCAUUUACCUGUUGCUACUGCUUAAUAGCGGGUGUUUCAAAUGUUUUUUUCCCACAGUAACAUGGUCGCACUUGCAUUUAUCUCCAUUGCUAGAUUUAAUAGUUUUUGGAUGCAUUUUUGAAGCACUAAUUGUAAAUGUUUAUAAAAAUUGCAAACAACAGUGAAAAAUGUCAUUAUUCCAAAGUUACAGAUUUUGAUGCCACCUCACAAGUGGAAAUAGAACGUCACAAACACGAAAAUGAAAAGUGGUGAUACACAAUAGAAAUAAAUUCACAUUAAUUAUUAAAAAUUGUUUAUUACUGGCUAAAGACUGAUUUCAGCACUACCCCUUGUGGCAAGAGAAUUUCGGAAAUUGUGUUUGUGUACAGUCCAAUUUUUUGCAAGUCUGAACAUUCAUAAAUAAGGGGGUACCUGUAUUUAUAAUAUAAAAAUAAAAUGUUGAAAUAUCUUAAUUAUUAAAUUAAUUAAAAUAUCUAUAACCAUGAGGCAGAUAAUAGUAAGGGCUUAUCACACCAAUGAUAAUGGCACAAACACUCAAGAAUCUAAGUAAAAACAUUUAAUAAAACAAAAAGGGGUGUACAAUAAGAUGAUUACAUAAGUAUAAAAACCAUAAAAAUUGACAAUGCAUUUCGGACUAUUUUCCAAUAGAAAAAUAGUCCCUCAUCAGUUGGUAUUAAAAAGAGGUCUUAGUAUAUUUAAAAAUUAUACAAGGUGAAAAAAAAUAAAUUUAAACUUAAAACUAUGCCUAAAGCUAUACAAUAUGACUGUACGAGCAGUAAGCAUUAUCAAUGUAGACAGGAGUAAUAUUUCUUCUUAACGUUGCAUGGUAACGUGACAAACAGGGUGCUGAUACA